RNAcentral lists this long non-coding RNA (321 nucleotides) under Homo sapiens (human). RNAcentral's name for it is "HSALNT0345957". Lineage: Eukaryota; Metazoa; Chordata; Mammalia; Primates; Hominidae. The record is from RNAcentral.
CUCUCAGCCAGGCACAGUGGCUCACUCCUGUAAUUCCAACACUUUGGGAGGCCCAGGCAGUUAGAUGGCUUGAGCACAGGAGUUCGAGAUCAGCCUAGACAACAUGGCAAAACCCCAUCUCUACAAAAGAUACAAAAAUUAGCCAGGUGUGGUGGCACGCACCUGUAGUCCCAGCUACUCAGGAGGCUGAGGCAGGAGGAUGGCUUGAACCUGGGAGGCGGAGGUUGCAGUGAGCCGAGAUCAUGCCACUGCACUCCAGCCUGGGUGACAGAGCCAGGCCCUGUUUCAAAAAAAAAAAAAAAAUACUGAAGUGUAACAUAU